RNA transcript from Asparagus officinalis (garden asparagus), 1850 nucleotides. RefSeq lists it as uncharacterized. The transcript is spliced from 5 exons. NCBI's taxonomy places the organism in Eukaryota, Viridiplantae, Streptophyta, Magnoliopsida, Asparagales, Asparagaceae. The record is from RefSeq and is a predicted model, not a curated record.
GCCUGCGUUGCCGCACUCCUCGCGCACCACCGCUGCUAUUGCUCUCUCUCUCUUUGGAUCUGACCUCUCUCUCUCGAAAUUCUACAGAAAAAGCCCUAGACUUCAACAAUGUCACUAGCGCUAGUAGAGAGGAGAGAUGCGACGUAAGGAAGUUUUUAAUUCCCUCAAGUUGCAGGCUAAACUGGAGACACAAAGCUUUGGGCUGAGCCGUCACUGUAACCUAAAGCGUCUUGCUGAUGAGGUCGAUCCGCACUAGGGUUAGCCUUAGACAUACCGUCACCGGUUGUCAGAUUGCAGAUCUCGCAUCCGAAACUGCAGUAAAGAUUACUCAAGAUGGUCAUCCCCGUUAUGCCGUGAUAGGAGGUCUAUUCUUUGAGCAGAACAGUUUCCAAUGACAGAGGUCUUCAGCUACUGCCCUUUUGUGAUUGCUUCAAACUGAGAGAAAAGGGCUGGUGGAAUUAAAGCCAUGGGUGUCAGAAGAAUUGCUCUUUUCCAUACCCGUUCGCAUAUUUUGAACAAGGAGCCAUUUGAUCGUACUAUUUACAAAAAUAUGGCUCUUUUCAUCAGUUCUUGCUGGUUUUAUUUUACCCAAUUUGUCUUCUUUCUGGUUAAAUUCACCGCCCGGCAUGUUUUUAGAAUUAAAAUGGAAGAGGGCUCUGAAGAAGUAAUUGAGGAUUACUCUGUUUCAUUACAGCCAGUGCCUGAACCAAAUGAGAUGGAGGAGAGAGAUUUCAAUGGCUUUGGUGUUUUGGGGAAUGAUAAACAAACAUCGUGCAUACCCCAAAAAAAAUCACAAAACCGAAAUAAUUAUCUUGCCACGGCAUAAUGGGGAUGACCAACUUGAGUCAUCUUUACUGCAGUUUCGGAUGCGAGAUCUGCAAGCUGAUGACCGGUGACGGUAUGUCUAAGGCUAACCCUAGCGCGGAUCGCCUCAUCAGCAAGACGCUUUAGGUUAUAGUGGCGGCUCAGCCCAAAGCUUUGUGUCUCCAGUUUAGCCUGCAACUUGAGGGAAUUAAAAACUUCCUUACGUCGCAUCUCUCCUCUCUACUAGCGCUAGUGACAUUGUUGAAGUCUAGGGCUUUUUCUGGAGAAUUUAGAGAGAGAGAGAGGUCAGAUCCAAAGAGAGAGAGAGCAAUAGUAGCGGUGGUGUGCGAGGAGUGCGGCAACGCUGACGGUGGUGCUCGAGGGAUGACUGCGUUGUUGAAAGGUCUGUGAGAGCAUCGGUGGCGGUGGGCUCGGUGUUGAUGCGCGUGAAGAGAGAGAGAGAGUGUGUGUGAGGGGCUGCACAAAAACAGCUCUGAUUAAGCAUUUGUACCGGAAUGGUCUGAUUUCUAAGGAUGCCUAUCGAAUGGUGACUUCGGAAUCAGAGCAACAUUGUCACUGCAGUUUGAUGGAGCUGAAAUGUAAUAGCAAACAAGCAAUUGGCCCAUAUGAAGUUAAGUGCAAAUGUAAGCUUCCAACACCCUUGAAGCUAUGUGCAAAUGAGAAAAAUAAAGAGAGACAAUAUUAGGGUUGCGCUAAGUUCCUAAAUAAAGAAUGUAACUUAUUUCAGUGGGCCGACAAAGAGGGUGAUUGUAGCAAUAGAAAUCAAGUUUUACAAAGUGAAGGCAUUCUUGAAGAUAAAAGGGCAAUGAAAAUCAGAAGCUUGAAAAAAGAAUUGAAAGCAGCAGAGCAUAAAGUAAUCAUUUGGAAAAUGAGUGUAUUGUUUUUACUUAUAAUUGGUGUACUCGGCAUUAUAUUUAAAAACAUGCCAUGUAGUUGCAAAAUGCACUGAGAUAUGAAUCUAUAUACUUUCAUGAUUGUUAAACAAUGUAGUAGAAGGUUCAGAUUGAAGUCAUAUUAUUAGUAAA